This 253-nucleotide ribosomal RNA is filed under the name uncultured bacterium. RNAcentral describes it as "partial 16S ribosomal RNA". It matches the Rfam family "Bacterial small subunit ribosomal RNA", at positions 524 to 776 of the family's 1533-position model. RNAcentral also lists the same sequence under 1 other name. The record is from RNAcentral.
UACGAGUGGUGCAAGCGUUAUUCGGAUUUACUGGGCGUAAAGGGUGUGUAGGCGGCAAAUCAAGUCUAUUGUUAAAGAUCUCGGCCUAACCGGGAAAGUGCGAUGGAAACUGAUUUGAUAGAGAUUGGAAGAGAGAAGUGGAAUUCUCGGAGUAGCGGUAAAAUGCGUAGAUAUCGAGAGGAACACCGAUGGCGAAGGCAGCUUCUUGGUCCACAUCUGACGCUGAUACACGAAAGCGUGGGGAGCAAACAGG